Molecule: ribosomal RNA, 716 nt
Filed under: uncultured bacterium
Lineage: Bacteria
Description: bacterial SSU rRNA
Rfam family: Bacterial small subunit ribosomal RNA
Source: RNAcentral
AACAGGAUUAGAUACCCUGGUAGUCCACACAGUAAACGAUGAAUACUCGCUGUUUGCGAUAUACAGUAAGCGGCCAAGCGAAAGCAUUAAGUAUUCCACCUGGGGAGUACGCCGGCAACGGUGAAACUCAAAGGAAUUGACGGGGGCCCGCACAAGCGGAGGAACAUGUGGUUUAAUUCGAUGAUACGCGAGGAACCUUACCCAGGCUUAAAUUGCAUUUGAAUAAUCUGGAAACAGGUUAGCCGCAAGGCAAAUGUGAAGGUGCUGCAUGGUUGUCGUCAGCUCGUGCCGUGAGGUGUCGGCUUAAGUGCCAUAACGAGCGCAACCCUUAUCUUUAGUUACUAACAGGUUAUGCUGAGGACUCUAGAGAGACUGCCGUCGUAAGAUGUGAGGAAGGUGGGGAUGACGUCAAAUCAGCACGGCCCUUACGUCCGGGGCUACACACGUGUUACAAUGGGGGGUACAGAAGGCAGCUACCUGGCGACAGGAUGCUAAUCCCAAAAACCUCUCUCAGUUCGGAUCGAAGUCUGCAACCCGACUUCGUGAAGCUGGAUUCGCUAGUAAUCGCGCAUCAGCCAUGGCGCGGUGAAUACGUUCCCGGGCCUUGUACACACCGCCCGUCAAGCCAUGAAAGCCGGGGGUACCUGAAGUGCGUAACCGCAGGGAGCGCCCUAGGGUAAAACUGGUGAUUGGGGCUAAGUCGUAACAAGGUAACC